GCGACCAUACUAGAACCAAUGCAAUGGAUCCCAUCAAAAUUUUGCAGUCAAGCGUGCUUGGGCGAGAGUAGUACUAGGAUGAGUGACCCCCUGAAAAGUUCUCGUGUUGCACCCC
Molecule: non-coding RNA, 115 nt
Organism: Ilex paraguariensis (yerba mate)
Lineage: Eukaryota; Viridiplantae; Streptophyta; Magnoliopsida; Aquifoliales; Aquifoliaceae
Source: the annotation of a GenBank genome assembly